AACGGUUAAGUUAGAAAGGGCGCACGGUGGAUGCCUUGGCACUAGGAGCCGAUGAAGGACGGGACGAACACCGAUAUGCUUCGGGGAGCUGUAAGCAAGCUUUGAUCCGGAGAUUUCCGAAUGGGGAAACCCACCACUCGUAAUGGAGUGGUAUCCAUAUCUGAAUUCAUAGGAUAUGAGAAGGCAGACCCGGGGAACUGAAACAUCUAAGUACCCGGAGGAAGAGAAAGCAAAUGCGAUUCCCUGAGUAGCGGCGAGCGAAACGGGAUUAGCCCAAACCAAGAGGCUUGCCUCUUGGGGUUGUAGGACACUCUGUACGGAGUUACAAAGGAACGAGGUAGAUGAAGAGGUCUGGAAAGGCCCGCCAUAGGAGGUAACAGCCCUGUAGUCAAAACUUCGUUCUCUCCUGAGUGGAUCCUGAGUACGGCGGAACACGUGAAAUUCCGUCGGAAUCCGGGAGGACCAUCUCCCAAGGCUAAAUACUCCCUAGUGACCGAUAGUGAACCAGUACCGUGAGGGAAAGGUGAAAAGCACCCCGGAAGGGGAGUGAAAGAGAUCCUGAAACCGUGUGCCUACAAGUAGUCAGAGCCCGUUAACGGGUGAUGGCGUGCCUUUUGUAGAAUGAACCGGCGAGUUACGAUCCCGUGCAAGGUUAAGCAGAAGAUGCGGAGCCGCAGCGAAAGCGAGUCUGAAUAGGGCGCAUGAGUACGUGGUCGUAGACCCGAAACCAGGUGAUCUACCCAUGUCCAGGGUGAAGUUCAGGUAACACUGAAUGGAGGCCCGAACCCACGCACGUUGAAAAGUGCGGGGAUGAGGUGUGGGUAGGGGUGAAAUGCCAAUCGAACCUGGAGAUAGCUGGUUCUCUCCGAAAUAGCUUUAGGGCUAGCCUCAAGGUAAGAGUCUUGGAGGUAGAGCACUGAUUGGACUAGGGGCCCCUACCGGGUUACCGAAUUCAGUCAAACUCCGAAUGCCAAUGACUUAUCCUUGGGAGUCAGACUGCGAGUGAUAAGAUCCGUAGUCGAAAGGGAAACAGCCCAGACCGCCAGCUAAGGUCCCAAAGUAUACGUUAAGUGGAAAAGGAUGUGGAGUUGCUUAGACAACCAGGAUGUUGGCUUAGAAGCAGCCACCAUUUAAAGAGUGCGUAAUAGCUCACUGGUCGAGUGACUCUGCGCCGAAAAUGUACCGGGGCUAAACGUAUCACCGAAGCUGCGGACUGUUCUUCGAACAGUGGUAGGAGAGCGUUCUAAGGGCUGUGAAGCCAGACCGGAAGGACUGGUGGAGCGCUUAGAAGUGAGAAUGCCGGUAUGAGUAGCGAAAGAGGGGUGAGAAUCCCCUCCACCGAAUGCCUAAGGUUUCCUGAGGAAGGCUCGUCCGCUCAGGGUUAGUCGGGACCUAAGCCGAGGCCGAAAGGCGUAGGCGAUGGACAACAGGUUGAUAUUCCUGUACCACCUCCUCACCAUUUGAGCAAUGGGGGGACGCAGGAGGAUAGGGUAAGCGCGGUAUUGGAUAUCCGCGUCCAAGCAGUUAGGCUGGGAAAUAGGCAAAUCCGUUUCCCAUAAGGCUGAGCUGUGAUGGCGAGCGAAAUAUAGUAGCGAAGUUCCUGAUUCCACACUGCCAAGAAAAGCCUCUAGCGAGGUGAGAGGUGCCCGUACCGCAAACCGACACAGGUAGGCGAGGAGAGAAUCCUAAGGUGAUCGAGAGAACUCUCGUUAAGGAACUCGGCAAAAUGACCCCGUAACUUCGGGAGAAGGGGUGCUCUGUUAGGGUGCAAGCCCGAGAGAGCCGCAGUGAAUAGGCCCAGGCGACUGUUUAGCAAAAACACAGGUCUCUGCGAAGCCGUAAGGCGAAGUAUAGGGGCUGACGCCUGCCCGGUGCUGGAAGGUUAAGAGGAGCGCUUAGCGUAAGCGAAGGUGCGAAUUGAAGCCCCAGUAAACGGCGGCCGUAACUAUAACGGUCCUAAGGUAGCGAAAUUCCUUGUCGGGUAAGUUCCGACCCGCACGAAAGGCGCAACGAUCUGGGCACUGUCUCAACGAGAGACUCGGUGAAAUUAUAGUACCUGUGAAGAUGCAGGUUACCCGCGACAGGACGGAAAGACCCCGUGGAGCUUUACUGCAGCCUGAUAUUGAAUGUUGGUACAGCUUGUACAGGAUAGGUAGGAGCCUUGGAAACCGGAGCGCCAGCUUCGGUGGAGGCAUCGGUGGGAUACUACCCUGGCUGUAUUGACCUUCUAACCCGCCGCCCUUAUCGGGCGGGGAGACAGUGUCAGGUGGGCAGUUUGACUGGGGCGGUCGCCUCCUAAAAGGUAACGGAGGCGCCCAAAGGUUCCCUCAGAAUGGUUGGAAAUCAUUCGCAGAGUGUAAAGGCACAAGGGAGCUUGACUGCGAGACCUACAAGUCGAGCAG
This 2402-nucleotide ribosomal RNA is filed under the name Bacillus subtilis. Its description in RNAcentral is "partial 23S ribosomal RNA". It matches the Rfam family "Bacterial large subunit ribosomal RNA", at positions 1 to 2396 of the family's 2925-position model. Lineage: Bacteria; Bacillati; Bacillota; Bacilli; Caryophanales; Bacillaceae. The record is from RNAcentral.